Dermacentor silvarum is the source of this 76-nucleotide non-coding RNA. NCBI's taxonomy places the organism in Eukaryota, Metazoa, Arthropoda, Arachnida, Ixodida, Ixodidae. The record is from the annotation of a RefSeq genome assembly.
UCCACGGUAGCUCAAUGGUGAGAGCAUCGCACGCGGAAUGCGAAGACGUACGUGGGUUCUAUCCCCACCUGCGGAG